GAUAUAAGCUGCUGCUGCUGUGCUAAUACACGAAUGUUUGAAGAAAUGGCCCCACUUCGAUCCUCAGGAUAUAUUGAUCCUGGAUGGGAACAUGGCAUUGCUCAAGAUGAAAGAAAAAAGAAGGUCAAAUGCAACUACUGCGGGAAAAUAGUUAGUGGUGGAAUAUUCAGAUUGAAACAACAUUUAGCUAGAAUGUCUGGUGAAGUUACUCAUUGUGGUAAGGUUCCUGAGGAAGUAUGCUUCAAUAUGAGAAAAAACCUGGAAGGAUGCCGUUCAGGUCGAAAGCGAAGGCAAGCUGAAUUUGAACAGGCAUCUUUAGCUUUCCACUCUAGUGAGUAUAAUGACAUGGAGGAAGCUUCCUGCAGUUACAAACAAAAAGGCAAAAAGGUGGUGGGUGACAAGAACUUGGUUAUAAGGUUUGCUUCUCUUCGAUCCUUAGGAUAUGUGGACCCGGGCUGGGAACAUUGUAUUGCUCAAGAUGAAAAGAAGAAAAGAGUGAAGUGCAAUUAUUGUGAGAGAAUUAUUAGUGGAGGCAUCAAUCGCUUUAAACAACAUCUGGCUAGGAUCCCUGGGGAAGUUGCCUAUUGUGACAAGGCACCUGAGGAGGUGUACCUUAGAAUCAAGGAGAACAUGAAAUGGCACCGUACUGGAAGAAGGAAUCGGAAACCUGAAUCUAAAGAGAUAUCCACUUUCUAUACCAACUCAGAUAACGAGGAUGAAGAGGAGGAGCAAGAGGGAGGGUUGUUGCAAUAUUCAAGUAAGGAUUUGCUGGCCAUUGAUGAUAAAAUUUCAGACAAUGACAUCAGAAAUAAUAUCAAGGGGAGGUCCCCUGGUAGUAGCAGCAACGGUGCUGAACCACCAAUGAAAAGAUCAAGAUUGGAUUCAGUGUUUUUGAAGUCUCUUAAAAACCAAACAUCAUCGCACUACAGGCAAACAAAAGCAAGGAUGGGUUUUGAGAAGAAAGCUCUAAAGGAAGUGAUCUCUUCCAUCUGCAAAUUCUUUUAUCAUGCAGGAAUCCCUUCAAAUGCAGCAAAUUCCCCAUAUUUCCUCAAAAUGCUGGAGUUGGUUGGCCAAUAUGGGCCUGGUCUGCAGGGACCUUCAAGCCAACUACUAUCUGGUCGGUUUCUUCAGGAUGAGAUCAUUACAAUAAAAGAAUAUCUUGAAGAGUUUAAGGCAUCUUGGACAAUUACUGGCUGUUCUAUUGUUGCUGAUAGUUGGAACGAUCUCCAGGGUAGGACAUCAAUUAACCUUUUGGCCUGUUGUCCCCGAGGUGCAUACUUUGUUUCUUCUAUUGAUGCCACUGAUAUGAUCGAAGAUGCCGCAAGCCUUUUCAAGUUGUUGGACAAGGUGGUGGAAGAGAUUGGUGAGGAAAAUGUUGUUCAGGUAAUCACUAAAAACACUGCCAGUUUUAAGACUGCUGGGAAGAUGCUUGAAGAGAAAAGGAGAAAUUUAUUUUGGACACCAUGUGCUAUCCAUUGCAUUGAUCAAAUGGUAGAGGACUUUUUGAAUAUAAAAUGGGUAGGAGAGUGCGUAGAUAAGGCUAAAAAAGUUACAAGGUUUAUUUACAACAAUACUUGGUUGUUGAAUUAUAUGAAAAAAGAAUUCACAAAGGGACAAGAACUUCUCAGGCCAGCUGUUACUAAGUUUGGCACUGCAUUCUUCACUUUACAAAGUUUGUUGGACCAAAGGGUUGGUCUUAAGAGAAUGUUCCAAUCAAACAAAUGGAUAUCUUCCCGAUUUCCCAAAUCAGAUGAUGGUAGAGAAGUUGAAAAAAUUGUCUUAAAUGCCACAUUCUGGAAGAAGGUGCAGCACGUGAAAAAAUCCUUAGAACCGGUUGCGCUUGUUCUUCAGAAGAUAGAUGGUGAUGAAACCCGAUCAAUAGCAUAUAUAUAUAAUGACAUGUGCAGAGCUAAACAUGCAAUUAAAAUUAUUCAUGGGGAUGAUGCACGGAAAUAUGGACCUUUCUGGACUGUGAUAGAAAACCAAUGGAGCUCUCUGUUUCACCACCCACUUUACGUGGCUGCUUACUUUCUAAAUCCAUCUUACCGCUAUCGACCUGAUUUCCUAUUGAAUCCUGAGGUUGUUCGUGGUCUAAAUGAAUGUAUUGUUCGACUGGAAGUUGACAAUGGCAAAAGAAUUUCUGCAUCCAUGCAGAUCCCUGAUUUUGUGUCAGCGAAAGCUGAUUUUGGAACUGAUUUGGCUAUUAGUACUAGAAUGGAGCUUGAUCCAGCUGCAUGGUGGCAACAACAUGGGAUAAGUUGCUUAGAGCUUCAACGAAUUGCCAUUCGUAUACUAAGCCAGACAUGCUCAUCUCUCAUAUGUGAACACACUUGGAGUAUAUAUGAUCAAGUUCAUAGUAAAAGGCAUAGUACUGCAUCCCGGAAGAGAUGGAACGAGCUUACCUUUGUCCACUAUAAUUUGCGUCUAAGAGAACGCCAACUAGGAAGAAAGCCUGGUGAUGUGGUCUCAUUUGACAACUUAAUUACUGAAAACAUACUGGAUGACUGGCUUGUAGAGUCAGAGAAACAAACCAUGCAAGAAGAUGAGGAGAUCCUUUAUAAUGAGAUGGAACAAUUUGAUGGAGAUGAAAUGGAUGAGAAUGACCAUCAAGAAAAGAGACCUGCAGAUAUGGUGACAUUGGCAGGGGUACUUGAGCCUUUGGAUGUUAUUCCUGCUGCCGGAGGAGUUACCACUGAUGAUGAUGGUCUUGAUUUUCUUGAUGAUGAUUUGACAGAUUAGUUAAUAUGUAUGUGGCUCAUCAAACCUGGAGUGCAAAAGGAGAAGAUUCAGCUUCAGCCACAUAUGCUCGAGUUGUGAGGACUGGAGUGCCAAGAGCGCAUGGUGGAAGAAGCAAUCGUGCUCUGAUUCAGAUCCCUUUCCUUUUUAUUAUUCUGGGAACUGUUGGACUGGGGGGG
Populus trichocarpa (black cottonwood) is the source of this 2915-nucleotide RNA transcript. RefSeq lists it as uncharacterized. NCBI's taxonomy places the organism in Eukaryota, Viridiplantae, Streptophyta, Magnoliopsida, Malpighiales, Salicaceae. The transcript has 8 exons. The record is from RefSeq and is a predicted model, not a curated record.